RNAcentral lists this ribosomal RNA (508 nucleotides) under uncultured bacterium. RNAcentral describes it as "bacterial SSU rRNA". It matches the Rfam family "Bacterial small subunit ribosomal RNA", at positions 15 to 518 of the family's 1533-position model. The record is from RNAcentral.
GAUUAUGGCUCAGGAUGAACGCUAGCGGCAGGCCUAAUACAUGCAAGUCGGACGGAGGGGCCCUCGGGGCCCUGAGAGUGGCGCACGGGUGCGUAACGCGUAUGCAACCAACCCCGCACUGGGGGAUAGCCGGUGGAAACGCCGGGCAAUACCCCCAUGCCGACGAGAGCGGGCAUCCGUUCUCGUCGAAAGACGCGAGUCGGUGCGGGACGGGCAUGCGUCCCAUUAGGCUAGUUGGCGGGGUGACGGCCCACCAAGGCCACGAUGGGUAGGGGAUCUGAGAGGACGGUCCCCCACACUGGUACUGAGGCACGGACCAGACUCCUACGGGAGGCAGCAGUAAGGAAUAUUGGGCAAUGGGGGGAACCCUGACCCAGCCAUGCCGCGUGAAGGGAGUGAGGCCCUACGGGUCGUGAACCUCUUUUGCCCGGGGACAAAGGCGCGCACGCGAUGCGCGUUUGCGGGUACCGGGCGAAUAAGCAUCGGCUAACUCCGUGCCAGCCGCAGC